This 870-nucleotide ribosomal RNA is filed under the name Lacticaseibacillus paracasei. RNAcentral's name for it is "bacterial SSU rRNA". It matches the Rfam family "Bacterial small subunit ribosomal RNA", at positions 187 to 1044 of the family's 1533-position model. Lineage: Bacteria; Bacillati; Bacillota; Bacilli; Lactobacillales; Lactobacillaceae. The record is from RNAcentral.
CCGCAGGUUCUGGCUGAAAGAUGGCGUAWGCUAUCGCUUUUGGAUGGACCCGCGGCGUAUAGCUAKUUGGUGAGGUAAUGGCUCACCAAGGCRAUGAUACGUAGCCKAACUGAGAGGUUGAUCGSMCACAUUGGGACUGAGACACGGCCCAAACUCCUACGGGAGGCAGCAGUAGGGAAUCUUCCACAAUGGACGCAAGUCUGAUGGAGCAACGCCGCGUGAGUGAAGAAGGCUUUCGGGUCGUAAAACUCUGUUGUUGGAGAAGAAUGGUCGGCAGAGUAACUGUUGUCGGCGUGACGGUAUCCAACCAGAAAGCCACGGCUAACUACGUGCCAGCAGCCGCGGUAAUACGUAGGUGGCAAGCGUUAUCCGGAUUUAUUGGGCGUAAAGCGAGCGCAGGCGGUUUUUUAAGUCUGAUGUGAAAGCCCUCGGCUUAACCGAGGAAGCGCAUCGGAAACUGGGAAACUUGAGUGCAGAAGAGGACAGUGGAACUCCAUGUGUAGCGGUGAAAUGCGUAGAUAUAUGGAAGAACACCAGUGGCGAAGGCGGCUGUCUGGUCUGUAACUGACGCUGAGGCUCGAAAGCAUGGGUAGCGAACAGGAUUAGAUACCCUGGUAGUCCAUGCCGUAAACGAUGAAUGCUAGGUGUUGGAGGGUUUCCGCCCUUCAGUGCCGCAGCUAACGCAUUAAGCAUUCCGCCUGGGGAGUACGACCGCAAGGUUGAAACUCAAAGGAAUUGACGGGGGCCCGCACAAGCGGUGGAGCAUGUGGUUUAAUUCGAAGCAACGCGAAGAACCUUACCAGGUCUUGACAUCUUUUGAUCACCUGAGAGAUCAGGUUUCCCCUUCGGGGGCAAAAUGACAGGUGGUGC